CUCGUGACCAGUCGUGACUAAUGAUUUAACUUUGAUAUUGGCCAACAAUUAAAAUGGCAGAGGCAAUAAUGGAUAAUUCUGGUAGACUUAUGAAGAUGGAGGUGGAUUAUAGCAAUACUUGCGAUAUAAAAGUUCCAGAAUGCAAAAAACUAGCUUCUGAAGGAAAGCUGCAUGAUGCCUUGGAUCAAUUGUUAGCUUUAGAGAAACUUACCAGAACUGUUGCCGAUAUGGCAUCAACAUCCAGACUUCUUAUAGCCAUAGUUGAAAUUUGUUUGGAGGCAAAAAAUUGGUCAGCGCUUAAUGAACACAUAAUUUUAUUAUCAAAACGGCGCUCUCAACUUAAACAAGCUGUAACAAAGAUGGUUCAAGAAUGUUGUACUUACAUAGACAAAAUGCCUAAUAAAGAAACCAUGGUAAAACUAAUAGAAACUCUUCGUUUGGUUACAGAAGGGAAGAUAUAUGUAGAAGUAGAAAGAGCAAGGCUUACUCACCGUUUAGCUGAAAUAAAAGAAGCGGAAGGAGACAUUGCAGGUGCUGCAGCUGUAAUGCUUGAAUUACAGGUAGAAACAUAUGGCAGUAUGUCACGUCGAGAGAAAGCUUCCCUUAUCUUAGAACAAAUGAGACUUUGUUUGGCAAAACAAGAUUUUAUGAGAACUCAAAUCAUAGCAAAGAAAAUUAAUGUUAAGUUCUUUAGUGAUGAGAAUGAUGAAGAAACUCAAACAUUGAAAUUAAAAUAUUACGACUUAAUGAUGGAAUUGGCACGUCAUGAGGGUUGGCAUUUGGAAUUGUGUCGACAUAACCGAGCAGUACUAGAAACUCCUACUAUUCGUGACGAUCCAGAGAAAAGACGUAUUGCGCUUUCUCGAGCAGUUCUUUAUCUUGUACUUGCACCACACGAGCCUGAACAAGCUGAUCUAACGCACAGAUUACUCGCUGAUAAACUUCUCGAUGAGAUUCCCACUUACAAAGAAUUAUUACGCUUAUUUGUUAACCCUGAGUUGAUAAAAUGGUCAGGAUUAUGUGAAAUUUAUGAAAAAGAUCUCAGAUUAACUGAAGUCUUUUCUUCUUCGACUGAAGAAGGAUGCAAACGAUGGACAGAUUUGCGAAAUCGUGUUGUAGAACACAAUAUAAGAAUCAUGGCCAAAUAUUACACUAAGAUUACAUUAACUCGCAUGGCUGAGUUAUUAGAUCUUCCGACUGAAGAAACAGAAGCGUGUCUCUGUAAUUUAGUAGAAACUGGAGUAAUUAAUGCACGUACAGAUCGUCCAGCUGGUGUAGUCCGCUUUACUGGCACACAAGAACCAGCUGCUCUUUUAGAUACAUGGGCUGCAUCAUUAUCGAAAUUGAUGGGCCUUGUGAAUCAUACUACACAUUUAAUUCAUCAAGAAGAAAUGUUGGCCGUUGCGCAAUCUUAGAAUACACGCAUGCGUGCGCGUACACACCACACAUCAUAUUUCGUUUUAUCUUGGGAUACACUGAGUGCAGCCUCGCAUUGCAUCAGUUACGUGUAAGCACUCAGCUACACUACACUAGAGUGGUGGCACACCAUGAUGUACACUACAUCAUUAUUACGCUAAAAUUCUAUUCCCACUUGAUUUCCAUUUUCAAAUUUUAAAUGUCAUUGGCUCUACACCGUCCCUUUGAGACGGUGUAACAAAAUUCCAUACACUUCGUGCAUAAAAUUUGCACUACACUGUUACAAUGUAAGUACAUACAGUAUGGAUACUGAACUUUUUAUGUGGUCCCCAAUUUUUAGUGUGCUUGGGUCGAUUUCCAAUCAGGAAUGUGGCUGCCUUCAGCAAGUUGAAAUUGCAGAUUAGGUUAAGUUAGGUUAGCUGGAUCUCCUCAUAAAAUAUAAUUAAUCUUUUCGCGUACAAUAUUGUGUGAGACUCAUGGUAAGGAAAUCAGGCCAAACAUGUGUAUCACGGCUUUAUAAAAACUCAAAUUUGUAAGCGGCGCCUUUCCAACCCACAACAUGGCGACGAGUCAACAUGUGAUCUGGGACCUACUACAAUAAAAGUGCCAACGCUCAAUAUCCAUAUUGUAUGUACGUAUUAUACUGUGACAUUGAUGUAUA
RNA transcript from Atta colombica, 2077 nucleotides. It is a transcript of the gene named 26S proteasome non-ATPase regulatory subunit 12, with no coding region annotated. NCBI's taxonomy places the organism in Eukaryota, Metazoa, Arthropoda, Insecta, Hymenoptera, Formicidae. The transcript is spliced from 10 exons. The record is from RefSeq and is a predicted model, not a curated record.